CAGCCGCGGUAAUACGUAGGAGACGAGCGUUGUCCGGAAUCACUGGGCGUAAAGCGCGUGUAGGCGGAUAGGCAAGUCUGCUGUGAAAGUUCCUGGCUUAACCGGGAAAGGUCGGUGGAAACUGCCAAUCUGGAGGACGGUAGAGGUAGGUAGAAUUCCCGGUGUAGUGGUGAAAUGCGUAGAGAUCGGGAGGAAUACCUGUGGCGAAGGCGGCCUACUGGGCCGGACCUGACACUGAGAGACGAAAGCUAGGGGAGCGAAUGGG
Molecule: ribosomal RNA, 265 nt
Filed under: uncultured bacterium
Lineage: Bacteria
Description: partial 16S ribosomal RNA
Rfam family: Bacterial small subunit ribosomal RNA
Source: RNAcentral